This 427-nucleotide ribosomal RNA is filed under the name uncultured bacterium. Its description in RNAcentral is "bacterial SSU rRNA". It matches the Rfam family "Bacterial small subunit ribosomal RNA", at positions 506 to 930 of the family's 1533-position model. The record is from RNAcentral.
UGCCAGCAGCCGCGGUAAUACGUAGGGUGCGAGCGUUGUCCGGAAUUAUUGGGCGUAAAGGGCUCGUAGGCGGUUUGUCGCGUCGGGAGUGAAAACCCAGGGCUUAACCCUGGGCUGGCUUCCGAUACGGGCAGACUAGAGGUAUGCAGGGGAGAACGGAAUUCCUGGUGUAGCGGUGAAAUGCGCAGAUAUCAGGAGGAACACCGGUGGCGAAGGCGGUUCUCUGGGCAUUACCUGACGCUGAGGAGCGAAAGUGUGGGGAGCGAACAGGAUUAGAUACCCUGGUAGUCCACACCGUAAACGUUGGGCGCUAGGUGUGGGGUCCAUUCCACGGAUUCCGUGCCGCAGCUAACGCAUUAAGCGCCCCGCCUGGGGAGUACGGCCGCAAGGCUAAAACUCAAAGGAAUUGACGGGGGCCCGCACAAGU